UACGUACCGUCCAAACGUUAUUCGGAAUUACUGGGCUUAAAGGGUACGUAGGCGGCGCUGUCAGUCGGGUGUGAAAUCCCACGGCUCAACCGUGGAACUGCGCCCGAUACUGCAGUGCUUGAGGGAGACAGAGGUAAGCGGAACUGAUGGUGGAGCGGUGAAAUGCGUUGAUAUCAUCAGGAACACCAGUGGCGAAAGCGGCUUACUGGGUCUCUUCUGACGCUGAGGUACGAAAGCUAGGGGAGCGAAGGGG
RNAcentral lists this ribosomal RNA (253 nucleotides) under uncultured bacterium. RNAcentral's name for it is "partial 16S ribosomal RNA". It matches the Rfam family "Bacterial small subunit ribosomal RNA", at positions 524 to 776 of the family's 1533-position model. The record is from RNAcentral.